AAUCAACGCUAGAAAACUACGAGCAACAGCUUAAAACUCAAAGAACUUGGCGGUUUUGCACAACUACCUGGAGGAGCUUGCUAUUUAAACCGAUAACCCACGAAAAACCUCACCAACCCUAGCAAAAACAGCCUGUAUACCAUCGUCGUCAGUCUACCUCGCAAGAGAUAAGUACACCAAAAGAGUGUGUAGACCCUCAACAAAACUCCACCCCCAACGUCAGAUCAAGGUGCAGCUAAUGGGUUGGGAAUAAGUGAGCUACAAUAACAACAACAAAAAUAAAAAAGAUAUGAAAUCAGCACUGAAAAAACAGAAAAAAAAGGAUUCAACAGUAAUACUUAAAAGAAAAUAAGUAUGAAAACUA
RNAcentral lists this ribosomal RNA (364 nucleotides) under Henricia nipponica. RNAcentral's name for it is "partial 12S ribosomal RNA". The record is from RNAcentral. Lineage: Eukaryota; Metazoa; Echinodermata; Asteroidea; Spinulosida; Echinasteridae.